Molecule: long non-coding RNA, 1484 nt
Organism: Helianthus annuus (common sunflower)
Lineage: Eukaryota; Viridiplantae; Streptophyta; Magnoliopsida; Asterales; Asteraceae
Exons: 5
Source: RefSeq, a predicted model, not a curated record
UUUAAAAAGAAAGGAGAAGAAUAGGGCCAAAGAAAACAAGAGUAUUAUUUAUUUUAGUAGUUGAUGGCCCAAAAUGAAAAGGAACUAACCGGAUGAAGUCAAGAGUGGAUGCAAAGUCAGCUGGGCCACAUAACAAUUUGGACGAAUAGGAGGGCUUGGGCUACAUGGGUUGCCAAAUAUCAAAAAGGCCAACAGUUUGCGUGAAGGUGAGAAUGGAGGCUGCUACCUGUUGAUUUUAUUUUAUUUAUAUAUAGACGAACGAGAAGAGAAAGGAGGGGGUGGAAGGCAGACGACUGAGCAGGAGACGCACGGAGAAGGCAGCCGCCUUCGGGCGGCUGUACACGGUUCAAGGCAUGAUUGAUUAGGUGGCUUUCUCCAAGCAUACGUCAUCAGGAUCAUAGAAGGUUCAAAGCAGCUAAAGGAGAAGGUGUGGAGCUUCAAAACAGAAAAAGAGAGUGCAGAUGCUGAAAGGUUGAAAAGCCAAAUGGCAAAGGCACAACCUUUUCCUUCACUCAGCUCUUGUGCUUUCAAGGAAAAUACCUACAUCGUUAGUGGCAUCAAAUUUCUAAGCAUCAAAUGAGGUUUUGAAACCUGGUGCUGGUAAAAGGAGUUGAGGCUGCCUCUUCAACUCAUAUAUGAAGUGGAAUUGAAAAGUACAGUUGCAGAUGUAAGUAUUUUGUUUUACAUGACAAGUUAUUAACUCAUUUUUUAUGAUAUUAUAUUGGUGUUUACUAACUUAGAUGAUAUUAGAGUUCAGCUGUUUAGUUUCGGGAUAAAAAAUAACCAUUAAAGGCAUGGUAACAGGUCCAUACAUUUUUGACUGAAUACACAAACAUGAUUUGGGCUUUGAAAUCAGUACCAUCAACAGGCAUGAUACAUGGCCCAGGUGUUGAUUUUAUAAAGCCUCAAAAGUGCUCAGGAUUGAUUUUGUUGGCCGUUGAAAAAAAAAACAAUUCGAUGCAAAUAUAUAUAGCAAAUAUCCUGUAACUGGUUUCCCCUGCUACAAAAACACUUAACAUUUUAUCUUAAUCAUAAUCAUAAUCAACACCAAAACAAGAAUACAUAUAGUCGUUAGCUCAGUUCACUUGGAUGUCAUAGUUUCAAAAUAAAUCAUUAAAGAUAACCUAAUAUGAUUCAAAAUAAACCAUAGAUUUAACAUACAAUAAUUAGAAUCUGAACUCAACACCAAAACAAGAAUAUAUAUAGUCGUUAGCUCAGUUCACUUGGAUGUCACCCAUUUCAAAUCAACGGUUUCAAAAUAAAUCAUUAAAGAUAACCUAAUAUGAUUCAAAAUAAACCAUAGAUUUAACAUACAAUAGUUAGAAUCAAACAACAUCUUAACUCAAUUAACCAAACUACUACAAAAUAAACCAUUAAUAGGAUUUAUCCAAAAUACUCCAUUAAAGAUACUAAUAAAAGUAAUCAUUCAACAUCAUCAUCCUCAGUUGAGUUUACUACAAUUACCAUCAGAACCAAAAGAAAAA